UACUUGAGGCAUAUGUAAAUCAUUUGAUGUGUGGUUCUCUGUGCAGAUCCCAAAUAUAGGCAAGAUUUAUUCAAAGAAUGAAGGAGAUUCCAAAAACUGGGACAGUCCUACCGCCACUUACGUUGGCAAUGCAAGUUUCCAGAAGAUGGUUCAUCGCCAAAGUCUCUUAAGAUAUAUUAGAAGAGCAAUGAGAAGAUGAAGCAAUAUGUUCACUUGUUGAACUCUAAUCUCACGGCUACUGAGAGAGGAUCAUUUGCUGCAUACUAGAGAACUACCAGAAGGAAGAUGGGGGAAGAGAUACCAGAAGUCCUCAUGCCAUUCAUGGGUGGGAAGACUUUCCUGCCUUUCAUGAACCAACCAUCUUGAGAUAUAUUUGGUAAGCCUUCUAAUAAGCUCACAAGUUCCUUCUACCAAAAUAAGU
Long non-coding RNA from Glycine soja, 421 nucleotides. RefSeq lists it as uncharacterized. The record is from RefSeq and is a predicted model, not a curated record. NCBI's taxonomy places the organism in Eukaryota, Viridiplantae, Streptophyta, Magnoliopsida, Fabales, Fabaceae. The transcript has 3 exons.